UACGUAGGUGGCAAGCGUUGUCCGGAUUUAUUGGGCGUAAAGGGCGCGUAGGCGGUAUAUUAAGUCAGGUGUGAAAGUUUUCGGCUCAACCGGAAAAGUGCACUUGAAACUAAUAAACUUGAGUACUGGAGAGGUAAGCGGAAUUCCAUGUGUAGCGGUGAAAUGCGUAGAGAUAUGGAGGAACACCAGUGGCGAAGGCGGCUUCCUGGUCUGUAACUGACACUGAGGCGCGAAAGCGUGGGGAGCAAACAGGAUUAGAUACCCUGGUAGUCCCUGA
Molecule: ribosomal RNA, 277 nt
Filed under: uncultured prokaryote
Description: partial 16S ribosomal RNA
Rfam family: Bacterial small subunit ribosomal RNA
Source: RNAcentral